Molecule: small RNA, 412 nt
Filed under: Yersinia massiliensis
Lineage: Bacteria; Pseudomonadati; Pseudomonadota; Gammaproteobacteria; Enterobacterales; Yersiniaceae
Description: cspA thermoregulator
Rfam family: cspA thermoregulator
Source: RNAcentral
UCGGUUUGGAACACAGACCUUAUGAAAGCAGUUUUAGUAAAGCAGUCCUCAGUUCAAGCGUUAUCUUAGAUAUCCCUUCUCCGUGAGUCUCCUCCUAAGUGCCUAAGUAAGUCAUCUUCUGAAAACAGACCCCAUUCGCUGCAUCGUUAUUUUGAUAAUUUUGUGGCAAAAAAAUAAUUGAAGGAAGUAUAUCUAUGUCUAAUAAAAUGACUGGUUUAGUAAAAUGGUUUGACGCUGGUAAAGGUUUCGGUUUCAUCUCUCCAACUGAUGGCAGCAAAGACGUGUUCGUUCACUUCUCUGCUAUCCAGAGCAAUGAUUUCAAAACCUUAGAUGAAGGCCAAAAAGUAGAGUUCUCUAUCGAGAACGGUGCUAAAGGUCCAUCAGCGGUAAACGUUGUCGCGCUGUAAUCCAG